GGAAGAUUCAGGCGAUUUAUAGCAGCUGUUUUUUUAUUAGCGCACAGAUUGAUAAAAAUAGGUCACAGAGUCAGCUGUCCGUCUUUACCGACAAGGAAACUGGAUCUCGCGGUUUUAAAUGUGUGCAGAAUAUUCAAACAGUUCCAGUGUUACUUGGAAGUCGAAAUGAAAUCAAGUUCUAAUUAUAAAUCGGUAAUGUAUGAGUUGCUGGAUAGGUACUUGAGCUUCCUGCCGCCAUAAGGCACCACUAGUUUCAUUUCCACCCUCUUGAAAUCUAUCGU
Molecule: long non-coding RNA, 281 nt
Organism: Hylaeus volcanicus
Lineage: Eukaryota; Metazoa; Arthropoda; Insecta; Hymenoptera; Colletidae
Exons: 3
Source: RefSeq, a predicted model, not a curated record